UUAAAUGAUAAUGUUUUUCCUUUCACAGAAAUCUCAGACUAAACAGCAGGGUGCUGAUGAGAAAACAAUGUGGUAGAGACUCCACAGUCUUAUCCGUGUUAACGUAACAGCCCUCUGGUUCUAUGAAAUCUGUACAUCUGCAAAUGCUAUGGAGGAUGCUUGCGGUCCUGAGCUGUGUCUGUAUUACCCUGUUAGGACAGAUGGGAGAAAGGAGGCACAGAGCAGAUCAAUGAAUUGUCCCAAAAGCAAGCAGGAAGAGUGUGGUUCAGUCAAAUUCUCACAGGUAAAUUUAAUCACUUAUAACAGAUGUAGAGACAUUUCCAGUGCUCCUGUGGAAAAAGAGGCUGAGCUUGCCCUUAACCUCCAUGCACGACACCUCAUCUUUCACAACAUAGAUGACAGGGGUCUAUCUUUGUUCUGA
Molecule: long non-coding RNA, 421 nt
Filed under: Anser cygnoides (Swan goose)
Lineage: Eukaryota; Metazoa; Chordata; Aves; Anseriformes; Anatidae
Description: lncRNA (ENSACDG00005004980.1)
Source: RNAcentral